RNAcentral lists this long non-coding RNA (1689 nucleotides) under Sus scrofa (pig). RNAcentral's name for it is "lncRNA (ENSSSCG00000054266.1)". The record is from RNAcentral. Lineage: Eukaryota; Metazoa; Chordata; Mammalia; Artiodactyla; Suidae.
AGCCAGCUACAGCUCUGAUUCGACCCCUGGCCUGGGAACCUCCAUAUGCCAUGGGAGUGGCCCUAGAAAAGGCAAAAAAGACAACAACAACAAAAAAACCCAACUAUUCUAAUUAUCUUAAUUUAAAUAGGGUUGACUCCUUUUUGUUAGUUUAAAUUAAUCAAAACAGUGGUCUUUAGAAUAUCUGCAUUAUACAGGCUGAUAGUUGCUGUAUUUUUAUCUUUUUUCUGAAGGACAUUAUGUUUUGAUUCUAUUCUCUCUUUUCCAGUCCUAGGUCUAAUUCAGAAGCCUUUUAAGUUGUCCUCUUGUCCAUACAAAGGACUCUGACCUAUUCUUGCUGCUACUAUCUAUUUCAGUAGUAGGUUCAGAUGUACUUGUUUUUGGUAAAAAAUACCAGUCAUUCUUGCCAAUGGCAGCAGUUCCAUCUAUCACUUAAAAAUAUUUUCUCAGAGAAAUAGCAAUAGUGACUCAUUGAGAAAACUUCCUUAAUCUUCUGACUUUCUUCAAGGGUUUCUGCUCAUAGGACUACAAUUCUUUGAUGCUCUGACAUUUUUAUAAUUUCUUUUACUACUAACAGUUCAAAGUAUUGAUGCAUGUAACCUUGUUGCUGGCUGUGUUAAGUUUCAAGCAUCAGAAAAUGGAUUGCUUAAGAUAGUUUGCUAGGCAUACCAGUAUUUGAAAUCUGAAUUGAUAUACUUGGUGCUUCAAGACAGAUGGUGCAUUGCUUCUGUGCCGAAGAGCAUUUGGCAGUGCUGAAAUUAAGCCUUCUGUUCAGUCCAGAAUAGUUCAGUGAUGAGUGGGCAACUUUGUACAUUUUUUUUUAAUCUUGCUGAAUUUGAGUAUUUGGAAAUGUUUUAGCUUACAUAUUAACUAUAUGUAGGCACCUUCAUAGAAUGUCAUUACAAGUGUAGGCAAGUACAUAAUCACUGGAUAAGCACUGUAGAUCAGUUUGGCAUAUGGCACCACUUGUUUGUAUUUUCAUCAUAGUGAUAUGUUUCUAGUAGGAUUAACAAGUAUUCGGUCACGUUUAAACAUGGGCACAAAACUUCCCGUGUUUAAACUGUUAGCUAGGCUAAUGCUGGAAGGGUUUUCAGUGUCAUUGAAGUGAGUCUGAAGGAGCAGAGGUUUUUAAGUCUCAUGUUGAUCAUCUCUCCUCAGUUUCAUUUUAAUCCCCUGAUUAACACCUCUCUUCCUACAAUAGCAUUUCCUUAUCUAAGCCCUGGCUGGAAGAUGACAAUGAAUAGCAUCUCUAAAGCCCUGAUUUUAUUAAAAUUAGAAAUUGUUUUGUAUUCUUUUUGACUUGCAGCUUGUUAAAACUUUCUUAGUGAUUAGCCAGAAAUGUAUUUUCUCUCCAUGUGUUUUCAAAGUAGGAUUUAUGUAAUUCUGUGGUUAUCAUUAGGGGAAGAAGAGGUGUUAGGAUGCCAAAAGCCCACAACGUGAGAACUCCAGUGGGGACGUGUGAAGAUAAACAGCAAAAGCACCAUCAUCCUGCAGUUGGUUGUGGGUUAUGUUGGUGAAGGAUGUUGGUGGUUGAUUUCAGAGAGGGUACUGCAAUGUGGAGAAAACGUCCAUCCUGUUUAAGCUUUGAGAAAAGGUUUACUCCUGUGACCUGGGGUCAAAAUAUUGUAUUGCCUGCUUUUAUAAUGCUGGAAGGAUAAAGAGAUCAAUAAAAAGUUUGCUCAGAUUCUG